AACACUUGUAGCACUGACUCACGAGUGCCCAUCCUGUACAAGACUGUUUCAUCACCAACAUAUUCUUCGAUUUGUUCAGCCAUUCCCCAAUUGAUGGACAUCCUCUUCAUUUCCAAUUCUUUACCAUGACAAAAAGAGCUUCUAUUAAUAUGUUUUGUACAGGUAGGCCCUUUCUCCUUUUUCAUUUUCUCUGGGGAAUACAGACCCAGUAGCAAUAUUACAGGAU
RNAcentral lists this long non-coding RNA (226 nucleotides) under Monodelphis domestica (gray short-tailed opossum). Its description in RNAcentral is "lncRNA (ENSMODG00000035192.2)". The record is from RNAcentral. Lineage: Eukaryota; Metazoa; Chordata; Mammalia; Didelphimorphia; Didelphidae.